Long non-coding RNA from Falco peregrinus (peregrine falcon), 7595 nucleotides. RefSeq lists it as uncharacterized. The transcript has 4 exons. Lineage: Eukaryota; Metazoa; Chordata; Aves; Falconiformes; Falconidae. The record is from RefSeq and is a predicted model, not a curated record.
GCUAUGUAUGGUCUGUUAUGGGAAGUUAAAUACAAGCUGGAGUGGGCACAAGGCAAGAUCAACAGAGACUUGGUUAAAAUGCACUUGCAGAAGUGACUUCAGGAGAAGGCCUUCUGCAGCUAACAAGCUCUGUCCCUUUGCGUUUGGACUCUCACAGAGAGGAAAGUGGAUCUCAGACUCCAGCUGGGACAGGUCCCAGGCUCGCUCUUCUUGCACCAAGGAAACAGUGGGCAGGGGAGCUGGCGAAUUCAAACCCUGUCUUGAGCUCUCUCACUUCCAACAUGACCUCUUGCAAGACUAGGUUUCAUGGCACCUGCAUCAGGACCUUCUGCUUCCAACCAGGCUGGACAGCUUCAGGGACAGUGCUCUGAGCCUUUUGGAGCCUCCACUUCGAGGGACAAACAUGUAAGCAAGCUUGCUUCAUCAAGAGAGCACAUUACAAACACUCUGUCUAGUGCAAGCGGAUCCUCUAACUCAAGCGCUGUUUCAUACUCCAUGCUUCAAAGCAUUGACCACCCAGCUAGCAUCAACAACCAGCAAGAAGUGGCUGCUCUGGGAUGGCUGCAUGGCUGAGCAUGGCUAGCUUGGGAAGGUGAUGCUCAUGGCAAGAGCACUGCCAGGAUCUCACCUCAGGAAGCACUUCCUCGAGACCACCUGCUUCAGGGCAGUAUUUUAGCUCCAUAUUCCUCUAACAGGGAUUCUAGGCCUGGGCUUAGUGGCUGUUGAGAACUCUUGAGUCCAAGAGUUCUUACAGAUAUGUUACCACUAUCAUUCAUACUUAAUUGUUGACAUGGUAACAUGCAAAAUGAGCUGAAACUCUUGAAGACAAAGGCUAAUUGGCUCUAAGGUAAAGUGGAUGGGAAUUAGCGGUGGAGGCGUAAGCUAUGGCCCCUUGUGCUUUUCGGUUACAUUUGUUUGUGGCCAUUCCUCCAGCAGCAGGUGGAAAGAGGGACCUGGUUCCUCUUGUCUGCCUCUGCCAUUGUGUCUUCUGAGAAGUUACCUCCAGCACAGUGGCAGAAGUAGACUUUUUGUGAAUGAACACUGUCAGCAGCAGGCUGCAUGUCAGCUCUUCUGAAAACCUCUGUUUUCUAUUAAAUCCUACAGCAAACCUGAUAUAGGUUCCACUCUAUGAUUUCUAUGGGAUGGUCAGAAGAUCCUAGAGGAAUUAUACCAUUCCCUAUCAAAAUCUCUCUGGCUAGCUCCUACAGUACAGUCUUGCAUUACCCUCUUGUUAAAUGACACCGGAUUUUCCCAGACGGUAGAUCGACUACCCCUAAUAUAUUGCACAAAGGAUGUUGCAACCCUGCUAUUAUUAUUCUAGUGCAAAUGCUGAAACUGGUUGAAGAGAAUUUAGAAAUCUGCCCUUCUCUCUUCAGUUCCCCCCCCUCAAAUUACUUCAAAGGUUGGUGAAAUGAAUUUUGCCCAGACAGAUGAAAAGCAGUGUCACAGUGUCUUCUCAUUCCUGCAGGUUUCUGCCGAACAGGGCUAAGGCAAUACACAGGCAAGUGCCUGGAGCAGGACACUGCAAAACCACCACGAGCCUCCCGGUGCUGCAGCUCAGAGUCCAGCUGACACCACCGAGAGGGGCCAAGACAUGUCAGGGCAAUUACUCAUGGCUUGGGCAUGGGUAGUGGUGUGCCCUGUGUGGUGCUGGCAAUACAAAAAAGCUGGCCUGACUUGGUGGUAGAGCUGCUGUCUGGCACCCUGUGGGACCCCUCUCCUCCCUUCCUGCUGCCUGUGGCCAGGAGACAGCUGGGUGUGCUUGGCUCCUGCCCUGGGACAGCAGCACUGGAUGCUGACUACCCUUCCAAUGCAUGCUCUGGUGUAGCUUGGUAGUUACAGUGACAAAAGUCCUCCCUUGGAGAUGAAGGUAAUCUAUUUGGUGCUCAAUCAAGAAAUAAUUAAUCUCUUUGUAUAGGGUAGAAGAUGAAGCUGUAGGAGCCUGAGAUACCUUUGUGCUUAUUUACUUAUUACUGGACCCACACCAGGGACUGGUGCCUCUGAGGCAGCAUUAGGAGACAGGACAAAUUCCCAGAGCUGCUCCCUGCAGAGUGCCCCAGCACUUGAUGUCACCCCUGGCACAGCACCCAAAUUGUUUAACAAUGUCCAUCAGCCCCAAAGAUGUGAGAAGGAUACGGUCCUUAUCCUGAGCCUGAAUUGCAGGACUGCCCUGAGGUGAGAUGCUGUGGUGGGUACAGCAGGAGGGCAAAAUGGAUCUGGUUUAGGAAAGCUACCUGUCUUUAAGGUGAUUUUAAAUGUUCACAUUUUUUAUGCAGCAUUUUGGAACGUUUCAGCUACUCCCAUUUGGAAUUCAGUUCCUCUCCCUGUUAAUCAAUAGCAGGCCUUAACAAAACAAUAUCUCACAGGAGACACAGGCACACAGUGCUGAACAAAGCAAAACAGCCACUGGCUUACAGCAACAAUUGCUGCUACACAAUGGGUUUUCAAAGCUCAGUAUAUAUUUUGUCCCUAGUGGGAAAACCAUAACAAGACUGAAUUAGUGGCUAGGCUUGCCAAAGGGAGAAAUUAAAGUGCGAUGGCUUGUCUGACACCUUGAAGUAGUUUUAUUUAUUUCUGGAGGAGAGGACAGUGUGAGAAAGUAAGGGGCCGCUUAGGGAAAACUAUUUUCUGUUGCUUUCCGAAGUGUGAUGUGGUUCUUCAUGCCUGAGGGCUUGGUCCACGUUGGGGAUCAGUAGUACCUUCUGGUGAGAGGGCUCCUGAGAGGUGCUGGCGAGUAUGGGGAUGCUGCCUGCGGCGCUGGGGAGGCACCGGGGUGGAGGGAGGAGUGUGGCUUUCAAGGGGCGGAUGGGCUGGGAGUCCCUUGUCCCUGCUGGGGGAAACUGGGGGCUGGUUUGCAGGUGGUUGGUUGGAGAAAGAAAAGGGAGAGACUAUGUGAGAGCAAAGCAAAUUCCCUUCCCUGCACAUGGUCACCUCUGAGCUUGCAAACUUAACUGCUCAUCUGUGGAUCUUGACAGCUCCUUGCUCUAGCACUAAUGGGUUUCAGGAGCUCCCAGUGAGCUGUAAUCGCCUUGGUUCAGGGCUCAGCUUGCACCUUUACAAGCACCUUCACCCCUUGCUGUUAACCUGUGGUCUCCUUUAUUCAGCAGCUAAGCUUGUAAAUUCAUGUAACCAAAUAGCUAGCGCUGUUAACUGCCCACACGAAAGUGAACAACACAUCCAUCUUCCAGAGCCCAGCCAGCAGCCUAAUGACACUCCUUGCCGUGCUCACAGGUACCCUUUCAGAUGUAACUAGCUCUGGCCCUGCAAAAACAAUUAUUUCGGCGCUCGCAUAGGACAUGUGGCUCAUCUGGAUGGAGGAGGGAGGCUGCCUGGGCAGAAGGCUUCCCACCAAUGGUCCCCAUGCACCACUGCCCUGUGCCAUCAUUGCCCCAUGCUGUGGUCUGAUAGCUGUCAAGGGAGACCACCCUGCAGGCGAGCUGUGUGUCAUGCCCUGGAGCAGAAGCAUGCUUGCAGUGGUUUUAUUUUGGGUUGUGACCAAUGUUUGAGAAGUCUUUUCGAAAAGCUGUGCCUCAGUUUCCCUGUCCAUAAACUUGAGUGUAAUUUCCUGAAAUAAAGCACCACUGGGAGGACAGCUGCUAAUGAAACACUAAGUGAUGCUGAGGUGUCUGGCCUUUCUUGCCAAAGUCAGUGGCUUGAAUCCUCUAGUCUUGAAAUUAAUCUCUGCAAUAAGAUUGUCUGGAUGCAGAUCUGGUUUCCUACGAAAUGAGGCUCAUGCAGUUGCUCUGUGUGGGGGGGGGAGUAGAUGCAUCAGACCCCUUCCAAGUUGUCCCUAUCAGCUAAUUGCAGCCCAGCAGGGCAGAGAGGUACAGUACUCAUGGACAGUAAAUCCUGUAAGCUCUGAGGAAAUACUCAUUGCAAGCUCUUUCUCCUGCUUCCAGCUCAAGGGAAGCUGGGUUGCAAGUUCACCCUUUACUAGAGACCCCACAUGGGAGCUCAGCUGGGGACACUGCUCACAGGAAACAAGGCUUGGCUGCUUCUGCCGUUGCUUGUGUUACUACUUGUUAUCAAAGGAGAAAAAGUGCAGCUUUCUGUCUGCAAAUAACAUAGACCUGCCAUUGGCAGAGAACUAAUAUGUUCCCUUUCUCACCCCAAAGCAAUCACAAGCAAUCAAAGCUGGGUGUAUGUGAGCUGGCAGGGGUUGAAUGGACAUUGCUUUUCUUUAUUUGCUGGCUGCUUACCUGGUGCAACAGGCAGUCUGGGAGAAUUUCUUAAUUAAACAGGCUCUGGACUGGGUGGCACACAUACGCUGCCAAUGGGCAUUAUAAAAGAGCAGUUAUUGCACUUCAGCUUGGGAAAUGUGCUGGUGUAGUUGUAUUGUUAAGAAAAGUCUUGGAGGAAGGGAGAGAAGGAACCUGGGCCCUGGUCUCCACUCCAAAGACUGUUUGUUGUGUUUAUGUUAAACAUCGCUGGAUCUAACCUCAGUGGAGAGUGGGUGGAGGGCUAAUUUGAGCUGCCUUUGAAAACAAUUUUGAGCAAUGCACAGCAAGAUCUCAGGGAAACAAUGUUUAUAAUCUAUAUCCUGCCUCAAACUGCAUAGGCACUGCACUCUUGCCCCACUGCCAAAAUUAGCAGCAGUCAUCAGGAAGCAGCUGGUGUCUCAAGCAUGAGCCCUUGUGUUCAGCCAUCGCUUGGUAGCUUUUAUAUAGUUAUAUAGAGAGUUUUUCCUGGUUAUUGAGCAUCACCUACUCUUCACCUUUGCAGUGGCAGCAGGAAACCUCUCGUAUGUGGAGCCUGAUCCAGUGUCCUUAAUCGUGCGUGGUUCCCGCUGAUUUUAGCAGGAGACUUGCUUUGUGGUGCGCAGGAGAAAUGUGUCCCUCAAGGAGUGGACUGUCUUCUGUCCUCCCUGAAAGAGGGUGGGGAAUCCAGUGCUUUGCUGUCUGUCUGCCUGUACAUCAUCAAAAGCGUACAGGCUAUGAUACACAGUCCUUAGAUUUAAAUAGCAUUAAAAUUUAGAUUUCAAUAUUAGGGAUUUUGCCAAGCUAGGUAAUACUGAGUUGAGAGUGUUUGUCAAUUAGCCUUCCCAACCAUUAAAUCCAGGUUGCUUUCAGUUUUUAAUUGACUCUGCAUAAAUUAGUGCACCCCUUCCUUUAGUCUUUUUGAAGAUGAGUAGCCGCUUCUCGCUCCAGUCUGGGCUUGGGAAUAUUUGAGAAGUGGCAGUGUGUUAAUUUCUGCCCCAGAAGAACUUUGCAGGAGAAACAGCUCUUUCAGUUGUUCGGUGGCCACAAUACAUUUGAAAGACUUGGUGUCAGGGUGUUUUGUAAUGAUUUAAAAUAUUAAAUAACGCAAACUAACAGAAAUAAGGCAAAAUACAUAACUUGGGGGAGGGGUUGGAGGCAAUCCUGUGCUGUCCCUUUAGCUCUUGCAGUUUUUACUCUGAUAAACAAGCUUCGCUUUCCAGAAGGUUGAGACCUUUGUCCUGUCUUUGUGACUGUUUUACUCCCAUUUUGUCCAGGGUAGGGAGGAAUAAAUAAUUUUGGCUUUCCUGCUGUUUCUGCAUCUCCGAUGGCUUCUUCACCAGGAAAGAGGAGAGAAACAAUGUGGAGACCCUGCUCAUUCUUUACUAUUUUCCCUUUUCUUUCUCAUCACCAAAAGACAGAAGAGGGAAAUGACGGCAGGCACUCAAAUAUCCACUCAUCUUUUUCAAUUCAGCUCUUUAACUGCUUUUGUUAUCCAGUGGCACGAUGGUCUUUGGCUCAUUAUGUACUGGCUUUUUAAUUUAAAUGUAUCCCCAUUAGGGAGCCAAAAGAUCCAGUCUUAGAGUUCUUUCAUAUGAUUUGUCUAACCACCCUCUAAAUUAUUUGUCAUGGCUGUGAACCUCUGGAGAUUUUUUUUUCUUUUUUCUUUUUUCUUUUUUUUUUUUUUCUUUUAAGCACUAUAAUUUGAUCCAAAACAUCUGUAAGAAAUCACAACUGACCUCCCAUCUGGGCAACAGCUCAGCUGUGUCCUAAGGCUGGGUAGCGUCAAGUGUGUGAGCUCUGUUUCAAAAGCCUAAAGUUCCUGACAUGGUGAAAUUCCUUUCUUACAUGUUUGUUGACAGAAGGCGGGCAGGGCAGGGAAGGGAAAGGAAGGGAAGGGAAAGGAAGGGAAGGCAGGAUCAAGAUGCUGUGCCGCUAGGCCAGAAGUGAGUGGAACAUCUUGUUACGGAAAUGGCCUCAGAAAUGCUCCUCCCUGCAUUAGAAAAUUAGCUAUUUAAAGCAGGAUCGAUUGCUAGUCUUCUUUGCCACUGUUGUCAUUUGGCUCUGUCAUGUGUAAAUAAUAUUUUCUCAUGAAAGAAAACUUCGAGUAAUGACAGUGCUCCUCUGGCCACGUCCUGUUCCAAAAGGGAGGAAUCAGCUCAUCCCUGGAAAUGGUGUCUCCCUCUGAAGGAAAAUCUAGGACCUGUGUUUUGUUUUUCUCUAAAACUUUAGAUGAGUAAAUUUCGAGCCCCAAAUGCCAUCAGAGUGGUACAAAUGCAUCCCAAUAUCUAAGAUGCAUUUGAGCACUGGAAUUACAUAGGACAGUACUCAUGUGAAGGCAAAAAUAUGUGGAGAAAAACAAAAAAACUAUGUGACUUAGAGCAAAACCCACUUUCCCACAAGAUCUGUAUCAUCAAAGUAGCAAUACGUGCUUUAAAGGAGUUCUUCAAAACAGAUUGCUUUACUUUUACCAGUGUCAGUGAGCAAAAAUCCUUUUAUUCUUGGCUCAUCACAGUUCCCAACCUCUCAUAGGGUGAGGUCACAUCUUUCAAAAAAACUGGAGUUAUCAAACACACAGAAAUGAAAACUCGCCCCUCUGUGUUUUGUUAGCUAUGUUCUGCUUAUGUUUUUUCCUUUCUCCCUCUUAAUUUUUGAUUUUCCAGGGAGAUUAACCCACACCCGGCUUAAGCACCCUCAAACCUUCCUGAAGUUGAGAUGCACAUCUGGAUCCCAGAUCUACAGCUCAAGCCCAUCGCUGUUUGUUAUUGUUUGCAUUGCUUCAGGCCCUGCUUAGGGAUUGUACAAAGUGUUCUUUAAAAAAAAAUAAAUAUUGAAAUGUCCACACAGCAUUUGAGAGAAGCACACUUCUGUAAGGUGCUGGUGCUUGAUCGUUACAGAAGCACAGAAAAGAAUCUCUGGGGGUCAUGUAGGGCAUUGGGGCUUCUGAAAAAAAAAUAUUUUUACAAUAUUAGGGGCUUGGAGUCAUCCACAUUUCCAUGAAAGCCCCUGUACCAAGUGAAGGGAGAGCCUCUGAAGAGUGUUCAAAUGUCUUGUGUACGGAAAGUUAAAGAACUCACUUGGCACAGGGAUUGGAGGAGAUCUAGGCCAGCUGAACGUGGCUUUUAAAGGCUGGGAUUUCUUCUCAUGCUGACUAAUAAGUCCUAACAGAGAAAGAAUUGUUGAACAAACCUGUUGCUGAUUCUUGAAGGUUGAGGAGAAGCAGUAGAGCUGCUGGAGAUGCCAGAGGUACGGAUCAUCUUGUCUGUCUUAUACUUAUCCCCCUGCCCCCAAACUCCUUGUUUUAUUUUUAUUGGGAUUUUUGUCUGAUGAACCCUAUUAAACACAUCACUAGCAUUGAGAUUUGCCAAUUCCAAUAAACCCAUCUGCUUUAUUAACUAA